Molecule: ribosomal RNA, 472 nt
Filed under: uncultured organism
Description: partial 16S ribosomal RNA
Rfam family: Bacterial small subunit ribosomal RNA
Source: RNAcentral
ACACUCCUGCGGGAGGCAGCAGUGGGGAAUUUUGGACAAUGGGCGAAAGCCUGAUCCAGCCAUGCCGCGUGCAGGAUGAAGGCCUUCGGGUUGUAAACUGCUUUUGUACGGAACGAAACAGCCUUUUCUAAUAAAGAGGGCUAAUGACGGUACCGUAAGAAUAAGCACCGGCUAACUACGUGCCAGCAGCCGCGGUAAUAAGUAGGGUGCAAGCGUUAAUCGGAAUUACUGGGCGUAAAGCGUGCGCAGGCGGGUAAGUAAGACAGUUGUGAAAUCCCCGGGCUCAACCUGGGAACUGCAUCUGUGACUGCAUAGCUAGAGUACCGUAGAGGGGGAUGGAAUUCCGCGUGUAGCAGUGAAAUGCGUAGAUAUGCGGAGGAACACCGAUGGCGAAGGCAAUCCCCUGGACCUGUACUGACGCUCAUGCACGAAAGCGUGGGGAGCAAACAGGAUUAGAAACCCUAGUAGUCCC